CGGCAGUGAUGAUCAAUUAUGUAUACCAUCAAACUUUGAAAGCUAAAUAAGCUUGUUGAUGCCAACUCAUACAAUCUGAGCCU
RNAcentral lists this small nucleolar RNA (83 nucleotides) under Medicago truncatula (barrel medic). Its description in RNAcentral is "snoRNA gene10491". It matches the Rfam family "small nucleolar RNA snoR116". Lineage: Eukaryota; Viridiplantae; Streptophyta; Magnoliopsida; Fabales; Fabaceae. The record is from Rfam by way of RNAcentral.